UGACCUCAGAUCGGGUGGGACUACCCGCUGAACUUAAGCAUAUCAAUAAGCGGAGGAAAAGAAACUAACAAGGAUUCCCCUAGUAACGGCGAGUGAAGAGGGAAAAGCUCAAAUUUUGAAUCUGGUGCCUUUGGUAUCCGAGUUGUAAUCUAGAGAAGUGUUUUCNGCCUUGGACCACACAUAAAUUUCCUGGAAUGGGAUGUCAUAGAGGGUGAGAAUCCCGUUUGUGGUGUGGACUACCUGGGCUCUGUGAUACACUCUCAACGAGUCGAGUUGUUUGGGAAUGCAGCUCAAAAUGGGUGGUAAAUUCCAUCUAAAGCUAAAUAUUGGCGAGAGACCGAUAGCGAACAAGUACCGUGAGGGAAAGAUGAAAAGCACUUUGGAAAGAGAGUGAAACAGUACGUGAAAUUGUUGAAA
This 417-nucleotide ribosomal RNA is filed under the name uncultured Sebacinales. RNAcentral's name for it is "eukaryotic LSU rRNA". It matches the Rfam family "Eukaryotic large subunit ribosomal RNA", at positions 1 to 413 of the family's 3401-position model. The record is from RNAcentral. Lineage: Eukaryota; Fungi; Basidiomycota; Agaricomycetes; Sebacinales.